Molecule: ribosomal RNA, 437 nt
Filed under: uncultured bacterium
Lineage: Bacteria
Description: partial 16S ribosomal RNA
Rfam family: Bacterial small subunit ribosomal RNA
Source: RNAcentral
GAUGAACGCUGGCGGCAUGCCUAACACAUGCAAGUCGGGCGGGUAGUGGUGGUUCCCGUGGCGGACGGGCGAGUAACGCGUAAGAACCUGCUCUGAGGAUGGGAACAACAACUGGAAACGGUUGCUAAUACCCCGUAGGCAGAGGAGCAAAAGGAGGAGUCCGCGCGAGGAUGGUCUGGCGUCUGAGUAGCCAGUUGGUGAGGUAAUAGCUUACCAAGGCGAUGAACCAUAGCUGGUCCGAGAGGAAGAUCAGCCACACUGGUACUGGGACACGGACCAGAGACUAACGGGAGGUAGGCGUAGGGAUGUUCCCGCAAUGCGGCGAAGCUUAACAGGGCCUUCGCGUGUUGAAGUAGAUUGAGUACGGGUCGUGAACUUCUUUUCUCGAAGUAGAAACAAUGACGGUACCUGAAGAAUAAGCACCGGCUAACUCUGUG